RNAcentral lists this ribosomal RNA (377 nucleotides) under uncultured bacterium. Its description in RNAcentral is "bacterial SSU rRNA". It matches the Rfam family "Bacterial small subunit ribosomal RNA", at positions 524 to 898 of the family's 1533-position model. The record is from RNAcentral.
UACGAAGGGUGCAAGCGUUAUUCGGAUUUAUUGGGCGUAAAGGGUGCGUAGACGGUAUAUUAAGUCUAUUGUUAAAUCUUCUGGCCUAACCAGAAAUCUGCAGUAGAUACUGAUGUGCUAGAGGGUGGAAGAGAGAAGUGGAAUUCUCGGAGUAGCGGUAAAAUGCGUAGAUCUCGAGAGGAACACCAAUGGCGAAGGCAGCUUCUUGGUCCACACCUGACGUUGAGGCACGAAAGCGUGGGGAGCAAACAGGAUUAGAUACCCUGGUAGUCCACGCUGUAAACGAUGAUCACUAGACGUUAGUUCUGUUUUACAGAAUUAGUGUCGUAGCUAACGCGAUAAGUGAUCCGCCUGGGAACUACGGUCGCAAGAUUAAA